GCCUAACACAUGCAAGUCGAACGGGAAAGUGAUCUUCGGAUCGCGAGUAGAGUGGCGCACGGGUGAGUAACACGUGGAUAACCUGCCCUAUGAUCUGGGAUAACACUUCGAAAGGGGUGCUAAUACCGGAUAAGCCCACGAUUUCUUAGGAAUUUGUGGGAAAAGAUUUAUCGUCAUAGGAUGGGUCCGCGGUCCAUUAGGUAGUUGGUGGGGUAAUGGCCUACCAAGCCUGCGAUGGAUAGCUGGUCUGAGAGAAUGAUCGGCCACACUGGGACUGAGACACGGCCCAGACUCCUACGGGAGGCAGCAGUAGGGAAUAUUGCGCAAUGGACGAAAGUCUGACGCAGCAAUACCGCGUGAGUGA
Molecule: ribosomal RNA, 364 nt
Filed under: uncultured bacterium
Lineage: Bacteria
Description: bacterial SSU rRNA
Rfam family: Bacterial small subunit ribosomal RNA
Source: RNAcentral